Molecule: ribosomal RNA, 2467 nt
Filed under: Acinetobacter sp. V91_4B
Lineage: Bacteria; Pseudomonadati; Pseudomonadota; Gammaproteobacteria; Moraxellales; Moraxellaceae
Description: partial 23S ribosomal RNA
Rfam family: Bacterial large subunit ribosomal RNA
Source: RNAcentral
CUGACUGACCGAUAGUGAACCAGUACCGUGAGGGAAAGGCGAAAAGAACCCCUGUGAGGGGAGUGAAAUAGAUCCUGAAACCGCAUGCAUACAAGCAGUGGGAGCCGACUUGUUCGGUGACUGCGUACCUUUUGUAUAAUGGGUCAGCGACUUAUAUUCAGUAGCGAGGUUAACCGUAUAGGGGAGCCGUAGAGAAAUCGAGUCUUAAUAGGGCGUUUAGUUGCUGGGUAUAGACCCGAAACCAGGCGAUCUAUCCAUGAGCAGGUUGAAGGUUGGGUAACACUAACUGGAGGACCGAACCCACUGUCGUUGAAAAGCCAGGGGAUGACUUGUGGAUAGGGGUGAAAGGCUAAUCAAGCCUGGUGAUAGCUGGUUCUCCCCGAAAGCUAUUUAGGUAGCGCCUCGGACGAAUACCAUAGGGGGUAGAGCACUGUUUCGGCUAGGGGGUCAUCCCGACUUACCAAACCGAUGCAAACUCCGAAUACCUAUGAGUACUAUCCGGGAGACAGACUGCGGGUGCUAACGUCCGUAGUCAAGAGGAAAACAAUCCAGACCGCCAGCUAAGGCCCCAAAAUCAUAGUUAAGUGGGAAACGAUGUGGGAAGGCAUAGACAGCUAGGAGGUUGGCUUAGAAGCAGCCACCCUUUAAAGAAAGCGUAAUAGCUCACUAGUCGAGUCGGCCUGCGCGGAAGAUGUAACGGGGCUAAAACUAUGUGCCGAAGCUGCGGAUUUGACUUUUAAGUCAAGUGGUAGGGGAGCGUUCUGUAAGCCGAUGAAGGUGUAUUGAGAAGUAUGCUGGAGGUAUCAGAAGUGCGAAUGCUGACGUGAGUAACGAUAAAACGGGUGAAAAACCCGUUCGCCGAAAGACCAAGGGUUCCAGUCCAACGUUAAUCGGGGCUGGGUGAGUCGACCCCUAAGGCGAGGCCGAAAGGCGUAGUCGAUGGGAAAUUGGUUAAUAUUCCAAUACUUCUGUGUAAUGCGAUGAGAGGACGGAGAAGGUUAAGUCAGCCUGGCGUUGGUUGUCCAGGUGAAAGGAAGUAGGCAUGCAUCUUAGGCAAAUCCGGGGUGCUCUAUGCUGAGAUCUGAUAGCAAGCUGUACUUGUACAGCGAAGUGGCUGAUACCAUGCUUCCAGGAAAAGUCUCUAAGCUUCAGUUACACAGGAAUCGUACCCUAAACCGACACAGGUGGUCAGGUCGAGUAGACCAAGGCGCUUGAGAGAACUCUGCUGAAGGAACUAGGCAAAAUGGUACCGUAACUUCGGGAGAAGGUACGCUGUUGUUGGUGAUGGAACUUGCUUCCUGAGCUGAUGACAGCCACAGAAACCAGGCCGCUGCAACUGUUUAUUAAAAACAUAGCACUCUGCAAACACGAAAGUGGACGUAUAGGGUGUGAUGCCUGCCCGGUGCUGGAAGGUUAAUUGAUGGGGUUAGCGUAAGCGAAGCUCUUGAUCGAAGCCCCAGUAAACGGCGGCCGUAACUAUAACGGUCCUAAGGUAGCGAAAUUCCUUGUCGGGUAAGUUCCGACCUGCACGAAUGGCAUAAUGAUGGCGGCGCUGUCUCCAGCAGAGGCUCAGUGAAAUCGAAAUCGCUGUGAAGAUGCAGUGUACCCGCGGCUAGACGGAAAGACCCCGUGAACCUUUACUGCAGCUUGACAUUGAACUUUGACCUUACUUGUGUAGGAUAGGUGGGAGGCUUUGAAGUUGGAACGCUAGUUCCAAUGGAGCCGUCCUUGAAAUACCACCCUGGUAAUGUUGAGGUUCUAACUCUGCCCCGUAAUCCGGGGCGAGGACCAUGUCUGGUGGGUAGUUUGACUGGGGCGGUCUCCUCCUAAAGAGUAACGGAGGAGUACGAAGGUGCGCUCAGCGUGGUCGGAAAUCACGCGUAGAGUAUAAAGGCAAAAGCGCGCUUAACUGCGAGACCCACAAGUCGAGCAGGUACGAAAGUAGGUCUUAGUGAUCCGGUGGUUCUGUAUGGAAGGGCCAUCGCUCAACGGAUAAAAGGUACUCUGGGGAUAACAGGCUGAUACCGCCCAAGAGUUCAUAUCGACGGCGGUGUUUGGCACCUCGAUGUCGGCUCAUCUCAUCCUGGGGCUGAAGCAGGUCCCAAGGGUAUGGCUGUUCGCCAUUUAAAGAGGUACGCGAGCUGGGUUUAGAACGUCGUGAGACAGUUCGGUCCCUAUCUACCGUGGGCGCUGGAAAUUUGAGAGGAUCUGCUCCUAGUACGAGAGGACCAGAGUGGACGAACCUCUGGUGUACCGGUUGUGACGCCAGUCGCAUCGCCGGGUAGCUAUGUUCGGAAGGGAUAACCGCUGAAAGCAUCUAAGCGGGAAGCCUACCUCAAGAUAAGAUUUCCCUAGGACUUUAUGUCCUCUAAAGAGCCGUUCGAGACUAGGACGUUGAUAGGUUGGAUGUGGAAGCAUAGUGAUAUGUGAAGCUGACCAAUACUAAUUGCUCGUGAGGCUUGACUAU